GCGGUAGGGAGUUUGUCGAAGAGGGUGUUGCCCUGGGGUUUCUACCCUGUGGGUAGCCAGCAGGGUAUACCCGGGCUGGUUGGAGAAUGUAUCCCCUUUUUCCCGGAUCAGCUCUAGUAUUUGAGCUCGCUCUCUAGUGCUCAACCUGUCUCCUAGCUGUACUUCCCCUAAUUCGGUGUUGGCCCCCCCUUGGGCUAAUAGGUCUGGUAAGGGUAGAUUAUCCGGGUCCUCGGCGACCGAGGCACAUAUGGCAGUUACUUCUUCGGUCCGCUCGUGAUAGGGUUUCAGCAUGUUAACGUGGAGCAUGCGUCUACCGCCUGCUCCUG
This is a non-coding RNA of Pelobates cultripes (western spadefoot toad), 326 nucleotides long. Lineage: Eukaryota; Metazoa; Chordata; Amphibia; Anura; Pelobatidae. The record is from the annotation of a GenBank genome assembly.